CAAAUGCUGAGGUCUUUUGCUAUGAUUUUAAUUCAAAUCACAGAUGAGUUCUGCUGAUACUUGGUUUUUCAGUUUAAACACACUGCUUUUUUUUUGCUAAUUUCUUUGGUAGGCACUGUACCUAAUUGUUAAAGGAACAGGCUUUUAUAGGCUGGGAGGUAGAAGGAAGUAAUGGAAAUGGUGUAUUUAUUCCAUUAUUUAUUCCAUUGCAGUCUUACUUUAGUUUCACACAUUAAAAAUGUAGAAGGGUCACAUCCUAAGACUAGAUUUUCUGAUCAUAUCAGAAAACCAGAGCUCAAACAUGCGUAGUUUCUUUAACAGCAGAAAUUAAUUGCAAAUACAGUUGUUCUUCUUGCAGAAACAUCCAGACACAAAAAAAAAAAAAAAAAAAAAAAAAAAAAGUCUUGCCUUGCUUUUCUCACUCUUCAUCUUGAAAGUUAUCACAGUUAUCACUAAGGCUGUAGGAUAUAUCUUAAAAAAUUCUAAAAUUCAGCCUGACAUCCUUUAAAAAAUAUUUUAACCAAGUAAUUACUGUGAAUUUCAAAUCCAUUUGCUAGAAUUUCAAGAGAUUACCUACUUUUCUUAUUGCUCUCACGCCUAGAGAAGCUUCCCUAACCUGAUGCCGUAUCUGAGGAAUAUAUGUGUGGAGAAGUGACUGUGUGCCAGAGACCCCUGUGCACAUUCAUAAGUGGGAAGGUAAAACUCCUAAUACUUGACACCACACAAAAAUACAAAGAUAUUUCUCCAAUGGCAAAGUACUUGUGGUCUCUCUUCGUCUGUUGCUAGGAGACCUGUUUAAGAAUUAAUCAGGGAAACAUCACAAAUGCUGCUAAAUCAUGCACCACACUACAGAUUGAGCUGCUCCAAAGAGAUGAGAAAACUUGCUUUUUCUGUUAACCCGGCACAGACUGGUAUGCAGCACAAUUUCCUUCAGCAAACAGAUGUCUCGAACACCUUGGAGUAUGCCCAUUCUCACUCCUGGUCCUUCUUCUUUCCAACCAGUAAUUGUUCCAGCAUCCAAAGAGAUAAAAAGGCAUUAAAGACUACCUUUCCGCGCACAAUGACAUAUGUCUUGAGACCGCUGAUGGCAAGCCGGGACUGGAAGGGAACACCUGCUUCCUACAGGCCAGGCCCCCACUUCGACAAGUGCAUUGCGUCUUCCACACAGUGACGAACUUCUUAAAGAAAGUUAUAUUUGCUGAAGAUAAACUCUUUUUGCCAAGUAAGUCCAUUAAAAAGUGAACAGAACUCUCAUUGCAGUUCCCAGUGAGCUUCUGAAGAGCAUUACAUUUUUCCCCAAUGCUAGUGGGGACAUGGUGUUUUUUUUUUGGGGGGGGGGGAGUGCUGAUGCAGUCAGGUAGGUAGCCUAUGUCUGUGCCAGAGCACCUUUAAUCUGUGUUACCCCAGAUUUUGUGACAAAAUAUGAGAAUGUGGGGCACUGAGCUCCUGAAGUGUGGCUUGUCUUUGGGGCUGGAGCCUCAUAUCUCUGCAGACAUUUAGGGAGACAUAGAUCUGGUGCAAAUGGAAAUCAGAAGAAUAUAAUGCAUUGGAAAAGACUGGCUCUAAUACUGCCUAAGUUGUAGUGAUACCCCUGAGGGCUGUACAGGACACCUCCUAUGCAUCCAGUGCACCAAGGCAGUGGCAGCAUGGGCCUGACACAUUCUCUGCACUGGAAGAAAUAAGGUUCAGAAAGAUUUUGCCAGCAGAAGUAAGACUGGUUGGAAUAGACCCCUCUAUGCCCAAGGAAAGAGCUACCUCUGCUACAGACCAUAUUUAAUUUAAAUGUUGUUAGCAAUGUGUAUAUUACAUUUGUACACUAUAUCAUAGCAUGGUACUAUGAAUAAAUAUGAAGACAUAAACA
This 1861-nucleotide long non-coding RNA is filed under the name Anas platyrhynchos platyrhynchos (common mallard). RNAcentral's name for it is "lncRNA (ENSAPLG00000017866.1)". The record is from RNAcentral. Lineage: Eukaryota; Metazoa; Chordata; Aves; Anseriformes; Anatidae.